CACCAGCUCCGGCGAGCUCGAGAGACCCACGAGCAGCUGCUUAGGACCAGGCCUGUUGGGGACGGCCGGGUCGGUGCGGCUCAGAACCCCCACGGGCCUGUGCGCACGUGCACACACGCAUACACACGCGCGCGAAAUAAACGGCGAGACUGUAACAGUCCAAGGCUCCCGGCAUCAUUAGAUGGCGUGGGUGUGAGGCUGGGAGCGCCGUCAGUUCUCAGACGCCCAGUGCCUUGCACUCCUGGACCUGCCCUCCAAGCCUUUGUGGAGCCACAGGUUCCUAUCGCUGCAUUUAUAACUGCUACAAAAAUGCCACCAUGUCACCAACAUGAAGAAGAGAAAUUCUUCCUCAAGGCCAAAGGCCAGAUGGAAACUACCCAGCAUCUGGGACUCACCUACCAAACAGCUGUCUGUUGUCAUGCCUUUGAAACUGUGUAACUUCUGCUUGAGUUCCUUCCCUAGUGGGUCCUUAGGGAAGAAAAGGAACCAUGCAGUGUUCACACUCACUGAGAAGAGUGUGUGGUUGGCAGCUGGGGUUGGGAAGAGGGAAAGUGAGAUGGCAGGAUUGAGGUUUCCUAGAGAAGUCCUAGGAUGAGAACAAGAGACGUUCUGGGUGAGAAUGGCCGGAGUGACAUCCCAGAGGGUCUUGUGCCUGUGAUGAUGGAUGAAGCCCUGAACUACCUAGAAAAGAGACAGGUAUCACACUUCUCUUUCAAUGUCACACCUCCAGUUAAAACUAAAGCAGGUCACCAAUUGUAGACCCUGAGCUAGGAGCACUGUGGGAGGCAGGCCCAGCAUGCAGCAUGCUCCCUCCAGAGGCAGACAAACCAGGAAGCUGGCAUUUCUCUGAUGUACCCUCCCCCACCUCCUAAUUCUCUCUUGCUUGGUGAUAUAUUAUAGAUUGUGUGCCAGUGAAUGUGUGUGGGCUUACUUCUGUGACAUCUUUAAAAAGAGGUGUAUGUGUGUGUGUAUAUUCAUGUAUAGAGAUCCAUUGGAGUCUUUAUAACAGUCUGUAGAACUUUGUUUCUCAAAUGAAAUCACAUCGAUUAAGUGAUAAUGUAGAUAUAAUUCUAAACAGUCUUAUUACAUAAGAAACACAGAGCCAAAUAAAGAGUUAAAAGCCCAAGAGGUCAGGGCACUAGCGAAUAGCCUUUAGCUUACCAGA
Non-coding RNA from Peromyscus maniculatus bairdii (prairie deer mouse), 1165 nucleotides. Lineage: Eukaryota; Metazoa; Chordata; Mammalia; Rodentia; Cricetidae. The record is from RefSeq and is a predicted model, not a curated record.